Molecule: long non-coding RNA, 1039 nt
Organism: Pseudomyrmex gracilis
Lineage: Eukaryota; Metazoa; Arthropoda; Insecta; Hymenoptera; Formicidae
Exons: 3
Source: RefSeq, a predicted model, not a curated record
CCUCCCUCCCCCCUCUCUCCCCCUCCGAAAUAAAUCAUCGUGUGCACAUGUCACAACAAACACCGGUGAGCUCGCGAGAUGAUGUGAGGUGCAAUCGGGGGGUAAACCCGCGCGCUUGUGUUUCCGCGGAACAACGCGACGCCACGGAAUGCCAUUGACGCUUGAUCGACGUUACGAAGAGAAUUAUUAAGGCGCUGAAGUGUCGCUGCGUUUCAAACAUGGCGGUGUCGCUCGUGCGGUCGUUCGUUGCUGUAUUACAACAUUCAUCAUGACGAUUGCGGAUCGUUCCGAUCGCACGCAACGCACGUUCUUCGCUUGAUCAUCUCUCUCGGGUUCCUCGAGAUCGAAACUCUACGCGCAACGACCGCUCCGGGUGUGCGUUGGAUUUUCCGUGUGCGGGGUUAUACACGUCGCCUGGCUCGUCGACGACUCCGGGUUUCUUCGAAGCGGCCGAGAUAAUCGCAUCGCUUCGACGACCACACAGUCGCUUUGACCUUUCUUCCGCGAGACGAUUGUAGACGCAAUCGAUAGACCCGCAUCACGUCCCAACUAGGAGGAUAUGCUCCGAAAUUCUUCUUCUCUGCGUCAACAUCGUCUUAAGAAAUCUUAACUGCUAGAAAAUAGUGAGACAGAGCUCGUUGAAGAUAUCUGGUUAAUAACAGGCUCAUUUUUGUAUUGUUCCGAGGGCAAACCCGUGUAAAAUCCAAUUUAAUCUGUUACAAGAGAUCUUUUAUUACAAUAUAAUAUAAUAUAAUAAGCUAUUCAAUUUAGAUAUAGAGUAUUGUAUACAUAGUAGCUAGUAAUCAAAAUCGAAAUUUAUAAGCAGUUUCGGUUUAGAGUGUGGCCUAUAAUCUUUGUAUAGAUGUUUCUUGUCUGUUAAUUUACCACUACUUGUGUUAUUAUUUAUAAAUCUUUGUGAGUUGUUUUGAGAAUAUUGUGAAGCACGCAAACAUUUGAACAGUGAAAUCUAUUGCAUUCAUCUUGAUGUAAUAUCCACCAUUUAUAUUGCAUACAAGAAGUAUAUAAAAAAUACUUUAAG